This is a non-coding RNA of Oryzias latipes (Japanese medaka), 5559 nucleotides long. The record is from RefSeq and is a predicted model, not a curated record. Lineage: Eukaryota; Metazoa; Chordata; Actinopteri; Beloniformes; Adrianichthyidae.
UCAAAUUUCCACCGACACCCUGUAGGUUAACAGCAUCGGUGGCGGUCGUUGUUAACCCGGGCCUCGAACCUGCAUCCACGGCAGUCGCCAGUCCAACCAGCAGAACGACUGCAGAGACAUGACUGACGAAUCCAGCUGUGUCAACGUGACCCACUGUGAGGGCCCGGACAAGUUCAAGUGCCGCAGUGGGGAGUGCAUAACCAUGGAGAGAGUGUGUGACAACAAAAGGGACUGCAGGGAUUGGUCAGAUGAGCCUCUUCGGGAAUGUGGCUGCUCUCACAUUUGCAAUGACCUGAAAAUCGGCCGCGAGUGCUUGUGUCAGUGUGGAUAUAGCCUCAGAGACAAAAGACGGUGCGAAGAUAUUGAUGAGUGCGCCAGUCCAGACACCUGCAGCCAGACCUGCAUUAACACGAUGGGCAGCUACAAAUGUGAGUGUGAGGAGGGUUACCAGGUUGACCCAGUAACCAAAGCGUGCAAAUCUAUUGGUACAAUAGCCUACCUCUUCUUCACCAAUCGUCACGAAAGAUGACUCUUGACAAAAGCGAGUACACUCUAGUAAUUCCCCGCCUAAAGAAUGUGGUGGCGCUGGACAUUGACGUAGCCACUAAAGAGAUCUACUGGUCCGACAUUUCUCUGAAGAAAAUCUACAGACGAAACUGACUAAAACCAGAGCGGAGAGGACGUUGGUUUCAUUCCCUGAUGUUUGAAACCAGUUUGGAUGUUCCAUGCAGAACAAACAUAGACUCAGCUGACGACUCUGCUCAGCACCAAACCAUCAUCGACAGCGACGUUGAUGCCCCUGAAGGAAUCGCCUACGACUGGGUCCAUAAAAACCUCUAUUGCACUGACGGUAUUCGUAGCACUAUCUCUGUGGCAACUGCUGAUGGCAGCCAUCGCAAAACUCUCUUCCACCAAGGCUUGUCGAAGCCUCGGGCGAUAGUGUUCGACCCCCAUAGCAAGUGAGAUCAUGGUUGCAUUUACAUGCGUUUCUCAUGGUUCAAACUAUUUUUUUACUGCCAUUUUUCAACAUUUCACAGCUUUCUAUACUGGACUGAUUGGGGAAAUCCGGCUAAGAUCGAGAAGGGAGGUCUUAAUGGAGGAGACCGCUCCACUCUGGUCACAGGGUUUGGGAGUUAGCAUUGUCACAGUAACGUUUGUUUUAGCGGUAUUAGUCUGUUUUUUACAUGUUGCACACAGGGUUGGAAGUUACAGGAAUUGUGAAUAACACAACUGUCACUUCUAAUAAGGCUAACCUGUAGCGUGUUCUAGGGUUACUGUGAGCGCAGUUUAUAAUGUUGGACUGACUGAUGGACAUAUCUGACUCCUGCCUCGCUUAAUGCGCCUUAUAGUUCGGUAUGCCUUAUACAUGACAUAAGACUAAAAAAAUAGGCCCUUCAUUGACGGCGCACUUUAUGAUCCUUAUAGAAAAUAUGGUAGAUGAUUUAAAAAAUGAAUUUAUUUAAUGUAUUUGCAUUUUAGAGGCACCAACACUUGCAGGACCAUCGCAGUCAGAAACUCCAGCCGUGACCCCGAAAGGGACAAAACGGAUUAGAAGAAUGUAUCAAUGAAUAGAAGAAUGAAUGCUUUUAUUUCUUAAAAAACUAGUUUUUAAAAUCUAAAACAUUUUACAAAAAUAAAAAUUAAAAGAAUCGGCCGCGUACAGGGAGGCCCAAACCUCUACAGAGGAACACGGGCCAAUUUAUUUUUAAAGGUAAAUAAUAAAAUUAAAUAAAUGGGCCGCGGCGGCGGCCAAACCGACGGGACAGGAUUGCCCCCACAAACAGCACCCGACCUAACAAAAAAAGGCACCCUCGUUGGUCGGAGGGACUCCUAAAGACAAAAAAAAAAAAGCAAUCAGGCAUCGGCUGUGUGGGUCGGGGGGGGUUCUUCAUAACGCUCAUAGGUUCCUCUAAACAAAGUAGACAAUGAAGUUAUCAGUUAAUACAAAAUAGUUAUGUAAUAUGUUUGUAUAGAUUAUAGAAAACAAUAAGUAAAGAAGGCAAAUAAAGUUAAAAGUCAAAUAACAACAUUACUUUAAAAAAGGUGAUAAACAUUACUUUUUUUUAAUAUACUGUAGCAUUGCAACACAAAAAUAGGAUUGACAUUUCACUGUUGGGAUACAAGACAGUAAAUGCUUCCAAAUUAGACACCAAUAUUAAUGGUCCAGUAUUUCAUUGUUAUGUUUCCAGGUGAGCACAUUAUAAUAGUUUGAUUUGUAUGUAUUUGGUUUUACACUACGUUUAUGUGGUAAAUAAUGUAUUUGAGGACUACAAAUAUGGCGGCCAAGAGUUCCUGCGGGUGACUUCCGGUUACUCAGGUGUGUGGCUGAUUACAGCUAAUGACUGCACAAAGAGGGGGAGGCGGAGCCAAGCAAGAAGGGAGGACAGAAACAAACUUUCUGUUUGACGUAAUCACUGCCGCUUGGAGGAAUGGAUAAAAAAAAACGAGGGAUGUUUCUCUGGAUACAAUUUGACGGAUAUUCUGGAAUUUCAAAAGGUCUUCCCUAGUCUUGGAAAGUGUUACGAUAUCAGACUCAACUAAUCUGGUUAGAAGCCGUUGUCCAUCUGAACGCGGACAAACGCACACAUUUGAGAAAGAAAGUAGAACCCUGAUUGAUUUUGUAAAUACUCUCAUUUAAUGCUGAGUAUUACAAUACAGUAUGACAAAUAACAGCAACCGUUAAAAAUCCAGAUCAUCUUGUUAACCAAGUUCAAUGAGAAGAAAGUCAGGCGUGAAGCCUACUUACUGGAUGGUGAAGGACCACCUCGACUGACCAGGCCCUUGCGCUUGACUCCCUUCGAGGUUGCCUUUCUGGUCAUGGGCCUGUUGGUCCUUGAGUGGUCCUUCCUCUUUGACGGGGCCUGGCCCCCCUGGAGGAGCUCCCAUAUGUUGUGAGUUGUUCCCUGAAAGACAAAAAUCUAGAUGUCAUUUUUUUCAUACUCACGUGUCUGUCAGGAGCGUCUGAGCGCUCGUUGAUCCAAGGCUCCGGGGGCGGAUAACAGCAUUUAGCCUUAAAUGGAGCAAUAACAACUAAAAUGCCCCCACAAACAGAGUUAAAAUUGUCCAGGAGCUCAUCAACGUUUCCAUUGUAGGCGUCCACGUAGGAAAGCUCAGAGGCUGAGAAAGCCGCUGAAAACUGUAGGGCUGUCUGCGCGUUCAUCAGGCGGCCGGGGCGCGCGAGGGCGCGUGAGUCAGGCGGCAGCGUUAAAGGCUUAAAUUCAAAUAAUACGGGCAAAUGAUCCGAAAAACAGGCAUCAACAAUCUCCUUGACCUCUCCAUGUAAACCCAGAGUUAAAACCAGAUCCAGGAGUGGAUCUGGUUUAUGAUUAUUAUUUAUGAUUUGUUGGGUUAUUUCAGAACAUUUGAGCUCCAUGUUAGAGCACCAGGACAGCCUUUAUUUUGUUAAUGUUGAUCAUUUUAUUUAUGUUAUUUUAUUACUGAGAAAAGCGGAUGUAAUGUUUGGUGAAUCAAGCUAUUGCUUUAGUAAUGUCCCUGCGCUGUCCGUAGUACUGAUUUACGACUUUAGCAAAGCAGUGUAUUAAAGUACGUCAUCUGAACGACUCCCUCGUCUCAUCAAUGACUCUUAUAAACCUUAUCAGCAGGAAUAUAAAUACGUGACAUGAGCCACUGUCACCGCCCCCCCACGUUAAUUUUGCGCACCGGACAAUUGCCCGUAUUACCUGAGCCUAAAACCGCCACCACCGCACGCUCCCCCUGGCAUCGCUUCGCGCCCCCCAGCACUGAUUUAGACCCACAUACAAGUACAGAAACAGACUAUCAUCUUCCACAAACAAGAAGUGUCUUACCCAUGUCCUCUGUCUUGGGGUUUUGUCAGUUUAGAAUUGUUUAUGUAAAAACUCAGUAUUUUGGCAGGUACACAUAGUUUUUUAACUUUAAACAUAAAAACUCCAGUACUAAGAUCAACUAAAUCAAAAAAUGUAAUUGCCCUUAAUUUAGGAAGUAUUUGUUUUGUGGAUUGAUUGUAUGAAGAGUGAUUUAAAAUUCUAAUUGCUUUUUUUUGCAGAAUAAAAACAGGUUUUGUGUUUGACUUGUAACUAUGCCCCCAGAUUUCUAAACAAUAGGUCAAAUAAGGAACUAUGAGGGAACAAUAUAGAAUAUACAAUGUAGCUGUGUUUAAAAAAUACUUGACUUUAUGUAGGAUGGCUAAUGAUUUGGACAAUUUAAAGAGAACAUGCGUUAUGUGUGGUUUCCAUGAUAAUGUAUGAUUCAAAAGGACUCCCAGAAAUGUUAUUUCAUUUACUCUUUCAAGAACAGAAUCCUCAAUUUUUAACUCAGAGAUGUUUUCCAGUUUUCUUUAGCCAAAUAUAAUGUACUUGGUUUUAUUUUUAUAAGACAGUUUGUUUGAAUCGAACCAUUCUUUGAUUAUGGAUAAUUCUUUUGUUAUGUCUGAAAGAAGCUUUUCCAGAUUAUAUCCUGAUAAAUACAAAGUAGUGUCGUCAGCAUAUAAAACACAAUUUAACAAAUCAGAAACUUUACAAAGGUUGUUUAUGUAUAAAAUAAGUAAUAUAGGACCCAAUAGGGACCCCUGAGGUACUCCACGUUACAGGACACAUAUCAGAUUUUUCGUUGAAAUAAACAUACUGACAUCUGUUAGUAAGAUAACUUUCUAACCAGGAAUAUGCUGUUCAUCUAAAACCAUAUUUCUGUAAACUACUAAGUAACAUAGUGUGAUUUAAUGUAUCAAACGCUUUUUGAAGAUCAACAAAAACGCCUACCGUAAAAUUUUCCUUCCCUAUGGAGGAAGAAAUAUGAUCAACCAGCUGCAUUAUCGCCAUUGAAGUAGAUCUGCCAGCCCUAAAACCAUAUUGAUCCUCAUGCAAUAAAUUAAACUUUCCAAUAAAAUUGUUCAUUCUUUUAACAAAAAGUUUUUCUAAUAUCUUGGAGAAUUGGGAUAAUAGUGAAAUUGGUCUGUAAUCUAUAAAUAUAUGACGAUCUCCAUUUUUAAAAAUGACAAUAAUUUUUGCUGUUUUCAUGUUAUUUGGAAAAAUGCCCUCCCUAAAAGACAUGUUAAAUAUAUGAGUUAGUGCUUCAACAAUGAACUCAAUUGUGUUUUUAAUUAAUGACAUAUCAAUGUCAUUCCAAUCUUUGGAUCUUUUAUUUUGAAAUGUUCUUACAAUUUCUAUUAUUUCAUUUGUACUAACCUCAGACAGAAACAUUGAGAACUUGAUUGGUUGGAUACUAAGUUCUUUCAUCUUCUUUAUUGGCUCUUUUAUUUCCAUUGCAAGUUUAUUUCCAACAUUAGCAAAGUAUUCAUUUAAUUCAUUUGCAAUAAGCGUUGGGUUUCUGAUAUAAAUAUCACAUUUUUUAAAUAACUUGGAUACUCUUGUUUCUUAUUGUUUUGUUUUUUUUGGUUAAUUUGUUUAUUAUUCAUUAUUCAUUUCAAAGUGUUGGUUUAUUUUGUUUAGUGUUGAGAUACCUCUGUGGUUGUGUUGAGUAUUUUGGAGGCGUUUCUGCUCUGUUUACAGAUAAUAUUGUUUUCAUCAUUUGAGGACAUUUCCUUUAAAAUAGAUUUCAAAUAAACUCCUUCCUUUCUCUGCA